CGGCGCUUUAGAGAGGAUGGAAAUGAAUGAAACGUGUCCUUGCCAGGGACAGGUCCGAGUCCUCACACUCCAAGGCAACUCCACCUCCAUAUCAUUUUCCUGACUGGUCAUUCGAACCUCUGUGAGAGUGGACAAGUGAGUGGAACGGCCACGAAGACCUUCCCUUGGAGCAGGAACUUUGGAGUUGACUGAUCGACGUUUUUGUUUCUGGACAGUUACAUUUUCCUGCAAGAGCAGAUUGUCCUUUGGGUGUAAGGGAAGAAUCUGUAAAAGCUCAGGAUUUAUCGCGGCCACAUCAUCAAAAUCAAUCUGAGCAUGCUUUAUUCUCA
Sorex fumeus (smoky shrew) is the source of this 329-nucleotide long non-coding RNA. RefSeq lists it as uncharacterized. NCBI's taxonomy places the organism in Eukaryota, Metazoa, Chordata, Mammalia, Eulipotyphla, Soricidae. The record is from RefSeq and is a predicted model, not a curated record. The transcript has 2 exons.